This 1949-nucleotide ribosomal RNA is filed under the name human gut metagenome. RNAcentral's name for it is "bacterial LSU rRNA". It matches the Rfam family "Bacterial large subunit ribosomal RNA", at positions 1 to 1977 of the family's 2925-position model. The record is from RNAcentral.
GAAAGUAAGUAAGGGCGUAUGGGGGAUGCCUAGGCUCUUGGAGGCUAAGAAGGACGUGGUAAGCUGCGAAAAGCUGCGGGGAUUUGCAAACGAGACUCGAUCCGCAGAUAUCCGAAUGGGACAACCCGGCAGGUAGAAGACCUGUCACACCGCGAGGUGAGCUAACCCUCUGAACUGAAACAUCUAAGUAGGAGGAGGAAAAGAAAGAAACAUCGAUUUCCAAAGUAGCGGCGAGCGAAAUGGAAGAAGCCCAAACCGAUAUUGUUACGGCAAUAUCGGGGUUGUAGGACUGCAAUAUUCAAUUAACAAUGAACUGGAAUGGUCUGGAAAGUCCAUCCAUAGAGAGUGAAAGGCUCGUACAGGUAAGUUUGUUAUGCGAAAGCAGUAUCCUGAGUAUGGCGGGACACGAGGAAUCCUGUCAGAAUCAGCCGGGACCACCCGGUAAGGCUAAAUACUCCCAAGAGACCGAUAGUGGACCAGUACUGUGAAGGAAAGGUGAAAAGAACCCCGAACAGGGGAGUGAAAUAGAACCUGAAACCAUACGCUUACAACCGGUCGGAGCAGCUUCGUGCUGUGACGGCGUGCCUAUUGAAUAAUGAGCCUACGAGUUACUAAUCACUAGCGAGGUUAAGUGCAAGGAUGCACGGAGCCGAAGCGAAAGCGAGUCUGAACAGGGCGUUUAGUUAGUGGUUGUAGACGCGAAACCUUGCGAUCUACCCUUGAGCAGGUUGAAGGUUGGGUAAAACCAACUGGAGGACCGAACGAAUAAGCGUUGAAAAGCUUCUCGAUGACUUGAGGGUAGGGGUGAAAGGCUAAUCAAGCUGGGAAAUAGCUCGUACUCCCCGAAAUGCCUUUUGGGGCAGCGUUGUAAUAAAGAGUCUACUGGAGGUAGAGCUACUGAUUGGAUGCGGGGGCUUCACCGCCUACCAAAUCCUGACAAACUCCGAAUGCCAGUAGUAUGAUUUACAGCAGUGAGUGACUGGGUGCUAAUGUCCAGUCGCAAAAGAGGAACAACUCAGACCAGCAACUAAGGUCCCGAAGAAUAUGCUAAGUUGAUCUAACGAUGUUUUGUUGCAGAGACAGCUAGGAUGUUAGCUUGGAAGCAGCUAUUCAUUCAAAGAGUGCGUAACAGCUCACUAGUCGAGCGACAGAGCGUGGAUAAUAAACGGGCAUCAAGCAUAUCACCGAAGUUCUGGGCGCGAGAGCGCGGUAGGGGAGCAUUCCAUUCAGCGUCGAAGCAGUUUCGUGAGGAAUUGUGGAGCGUAUGGAAAAGCAAAUGUAGGCAUGAGUAACGAUAAUGCGGGAGAGUAACCCGCACACCGCAAGACCAAGGUUUCCUGAUCAACGCUAAUCGGAUCAGGGUUAGUCGGGUCCUAAGGGUAAGCCGAACGGCGAUCUCGAUGGAUAAUCGGUUAAUAUUCCGAUACUAACAUAUACCUCGAUGGAGAGACGAAGGAACGUAAGUGCCGCCACCUGACGGAAUAGGUGGUUAAAGGGCGUAGAUAUAGGGGCAGAUUAAGAGUUAGUCCUUGCUGAAACCUGACAGUACAGAGAGCCUACGGGCAAUUUGAUAGAGCACCCAAGUCGACUUCCGAGAAAAUCUUCUAAGUUAUAGUAUAUGUUACCCGUACCGUAAACCGACACAGGUGGUCGAGGAGAGUAUCCUAAGGUGCUCGAGUGAAUCACGGUUAAGGAACUAGGCAAAUUAACCCCGUAACUUCGGGAAAAGGGGUCCCUAUGAAAGUAGGGCGCAGCGAAGAGGUCCAGGCGACUGUUUAUCAAAAACACAGGGCUCUGCAAAUUCGAAAGAAGACGUAUAGGGCCUGACACCUGCCCGGUGCUGGAAGGUUAAGAGGGGAUGUCAUCGCAAGAGAAGCAUUGAAUCGAAGCCCCAGUAAACGGCGGCCGUAACUAUAACGGUCCUAAGGUAGCGAAAUUCCUUGUCGGGU